This 21-nucleotide microRNA is filed under the name Heligmosomoides polygyrus. RNAcentral's name for it is "hpo-miR-10063a-5p". Lineage: Eukaryota; Metazoa; Nematoda; Chromadorea; Rhabditida; Heligmosomidae. The record is from miRBase by way of RNAcentral.
ACGAGGCGUAUCUCAGACAGG